UACACGGAGAGUUUGAUCCUGGCUCAGAAUGAACGCUGGCGGCGUGCUUAACACAUGCAAGUCGAACGGACUAGAUUUCAUUCGUGGUUUCUAGUUAGUGGCGCACGGGUGAGUAACGCGUGGGUAACCUACCCUCUAGUUUGGAAUAACCCUUCGAAAGGAGUGCUAAUACCAAAUAAGACCACGAUGACUACGGUCGACGCGGUCAAAGGUGGCGAAUCGCAAGAUGCUAUCGCUAGGGGACGGGCCCGCGUGACAUUAGAUUGAUGGUGAGGUAAUGGCUCACCAUGUCUACGAUGUCUAGCUGGUCUGAGAGGAUGAUCAGCCACACUGGGACUGGUACACGGCCCAGACUCCUACGGGAGGCAGCAGUGAGGAAUUAUUCACAAUUAGGGAAACCUAGAUGGUGCAACGCCGCGUGGGUGAAGAAGGCAGUUUUGUUGUAAAGCCCUGUCGUAAG
RNAcentral lists this ribosomal RNA (460 nucleotides) under Deltaproteobacteria bacterium. RNAcentral describes it as "bacterial SSU rRNA". It matches the Rfam family "Bacterial small subunit ribosomal RNA", at positions 1 to 442 of the family's 1533-position model. The record is from RNAcentral. Lineage: Bacteria; Pseudomonadati; Myxococcota; Myxococcia.